GACGAACGCUGGCGGCGUGCCUAAUACAUGCAAGUAGGACGCACGGUUUAUACCGUAGCUUGCUACACCAUAGACUGUGAGUUGCGAACGGGUGAGUAACGCGUAGGUAACCUGCCUAUUAGGGGGGGAUAACUAUUGGAAACGAUAGCUAAUACCGCAUAACAGUAUGUAACACAUGUUAGAUGCUUGAAAGAUGCAAUUGCAUCGCUAGUAGAUGGACCUGCGUUGUAUUAGCUAGUAGGUAGGGUAAAGGCCUACCUAGGCAACGAUACAUAGCCGACCUGAGAGGGUGAUCGGCCACACUGGGACUGAGACACGGCCCAGACUCCUACGGGAGGCAGCAGUAGGGAAUCUUCGGCAAUGGGGGGAACCCUGACCGAGCAACGCCGCGUGAGUGAAGAAGGUUUUCGGAUCGUAAAGCUCUGUUGUUAAGGAAGAACGAGUGUGAGAAUGGAAAGUUCAUACUGUGACGGUACUUAACCAGAAAGGGACGGCUAACUACGUGCCAGCAGCCGCGGUAAUACGUAGGUCCCGAGCGUUGUCCGGAUUUAUUGGGCGUAAAGCGAGCGCAGGCGGUUAGAAAAGUCUGAAGUGAAAGGCAGUGGCUCAACCAUUGUAGGCUUUGGAAACUGUUUAACUUGAGUGCAGAAGGGGAGAGUGGAAUUCCAUGUGUAGCGGUGAAAUGCGUAGAUAUAUGGAGGAACACCGGUGGCGAAAGCGGCUCUCUGGUCUGUAACUGACGCUGAGGCUCGAAAGCGUGGGGAGCGAACAGG
RNAcentral lists this ribosomal RNA (773 nucleotides) under Streptococcus anginosus. RNAcentral's name for it is "bacterial SSU rRNA". It matches the Rfam family "Bacterial small subunit ribosomal RNA", at positions 28 to 776 of the family's 1533-position model. The record is from RNAcentral. Lineage: Bacteria; Bacillati; Bacillota; Bacilli; Lactobacillales; Streptococcaceae.